UGAAAGUUAAUUAUAUUCAUAUAUACUAUAAAGCAAAUAACCAAAGCAUAAAAUUACUUUUAUAGUGACACGUGGGCCCCCAACUAACCAAUAAAGUGCGAGUCUGUGAACCUACAAUUUUGUCGAUGCAAGGCUAACUGAAGUCCUUGAUGCAAUUAGCUAUCUACCGGCUAUCCCGAGUCUGAAAUGUGGGGAAUUGAGGGUGGUGAGAUUAUAAAAUCCCAGUGAGUAAACAGACACCAUCUAAACUAUCUAAAGGUGAGUAAAUGGAGACGAAUUAAAAUAAGUCACCAUAUUGUAAUUUCAUUACCUUUCAACUCAUUUCAACUAACUGAACAAAUAGGCUUAUGAUUUCCUGAAAAGCUUGGCUCGUGUCAAAAAUCAUUCUCAUACUCAUUUAUCAGGGAUACCUUGAUCGAGGGUUAUCCCAACCGAGUCCGCCAAGGCUGUUAAAUGUCUUUACAUCCGAAAUUUUAGCCAUGCCUUGGCGUUGGAUGAGUCUCACUCUCACGUGGUGGUCCACGUGAAGUGCACUCAUAUCUUUACCUCAGGAGAUACUUCAUCCAACAUCUCCCCCCGGAGGUAAAUAUAUAAUUGGGUUACCGUGCCCCUCUUAUAGGCAGUCCAUGAAAAUCCCCACCACUGCAGUGACUGGAUUAUUUUAUCUAUCACCUGAUUUAUAAAAUCUUUUUCUGCAUGACAUGGAAAUUUAUCGCAACCUAGCCUCUUAAGGCUGAAUACACAGUACAAAUAAUUAUAACACCAAAAAUCAGUUUAGCCAUUCAUGCUCAUAUAUUGUCAUAAGCCAUUCAAUUUAAAACCAUAAAUUUACAACACAAGCAGGCAGUCUCCAAUUACUCUAUUUUCAAAACCAAUAUUAAAUUUUUCAGAAAAUUCAUAAAAUCAUUUUAUAAAAUCAUAAUUUCUCCUAAGACAUAGCAAUUUACCAUUUAAACCCAUUUUCCAUAAAAUCACACAAUUGUAUAAAACUACUUUAGAUAAUUAAGACGAUAAUAAUUUUACUCACAGUUCUAGGAGUCGAUGUACUCCUAAUCUCAGUCUCCAAGCACAAUCUCUGUACUUUUACCAGUGUAAUUUACUCACCACCU
Molecule: long non-coding RNA, 1109 nt
Filed under: Theobroma cacao (cacao)
Lineage: Eukaryota; Viridiplantae; Streptophyta; Magnoliopsida; Malvales; Malvaceae
Description: long non-coding RNA (TCAC_LNC004845)
Source: RNAcentral